CUCUUCGACACUUCACGGUCCCUUACGUUCCCACGUAAAAGGCGUUCGGCCGCGACGAGGGGCAGCAAUAAGAGAUUACAGAAUGACGAGUUAUAAUUUUUCGAAAUAAAGGAUUCGCAGAAUGUGGAUGUAAUAUCUGGAUGAAGAUACUUCAAAAUUGAUUAAAUACGAUUCCUUUUAUUUUACUGCGCAUGUUUACAUGUUUAUUCUAUCAACUAAUUUGAGGUGAUAUCGAUGGAAUGAUGUAAGUAUGAAAUACGCAAAAA
Pogonomyrmex barbatus (red harvester ant) is the source of this 266-nucleotide long non-coding RNA. NCBI's taxonomy places the organism in Eukaryota, Metazoa, Arthropoda, Insecta, Hymenoptera, Formicidae. The record is from RefSeq and is a predicted model, not a curated record.